Fragaria vesca subsp. vesca is the source of this 458-nucleotide RNA transcript. RefSeq lists it as uncharacterized. The transcript is spliced from 2 exons. NCBI's taxonomy places the organism in Eukaryota, Viridiplantae, Streptophyta, Magnoliopsida, Rosales, Rosaceae. The record is from RefSeq and is a predicted model, not a curated record.
CUCUCUCUCUCUCUCGAUCUCUCUUGACACCACCGAAUCAUCUCUAUCAAGAGAUUCAGCCAGAUCUCAAGCUCUCCUUCCCUCUCUUUCGUCGCUUCCUUCAUCUCUCGCUCAGCACCUCUAGAAGAACCCAGACUCCUCCUCCUCUCUCUCUUAUCCUUCUUCUCUCUCUAUUUCCUCUGGUUUGGUAACACUGAAAGAGAGAGGGAGACCAGAGACUGAAAGAGAGAGUUUGGGUGCCAGAUCAGAGAAAGAGGGAUAGCAGUGGUUGUGCGCUCAUCUUGCAAAAUCUGUAAACUCUGUAUAUACCAAUUACAGAGAAAAGGACGCACCCAUACUGCUGCAGAGAUCAUUGCGAAAGCAAUUCUCAGUCGAAAGGCAGGUUACUUAAAUUAGGAAGCUUCCACCAGCCAAGAUGUUGGUCAAGAAGCCGCCAAUUUGUUGAACUCAAUAAGCCG